Molecule: ribosomal RNA, 492 nt
Filed under: uncultured bacterium
Lineage: Bacteria
Description: partial 16S ribosomal RNA
Rfam family: Bacterial small subunit ribosomal RNA
Source: RNAcentral
AGUGAACGCUGGCGGUAGGCCUAACACAUGCAAGUCGAACGGCAGCACAGUAAGAUCUUGCUCUUACGGGUGGCGACUGGCGGACGGGUGAGGCAUACAUCGGAAUCUUCUUUUUCUUUGGGGAUAACGUAGGGCAACUUCUGCUACUACCGCAUACGACCUACGGGAUACAGCAGGGGAUCUUCGCACCUUUCGUGUUUCAAUUAGCCGCUGCCGGAUUAGCUAGUUGGCGGUGUAAAGUACCACCAAGCGGACGAUCCGUAGCUGGUCUGAGAGGAUGAUACGCCACACUGGAAAUGAGAAACGGUCCAGACUCCUACGGGAGGCAGCAGUGGGGAAUAUUGAGCAAUGGGCGCAAGCCUGAUGCAGCCAUGCCGCGUGAGUGAAGAAGGACUUCGGGUUGUAAAACCCUGUUAUUGGGAAAGAAAAGCAGCAGGUUAAUACAUCGCUGUUCUGACGGUACCCAAAGAAUAAGCACCGGCUAACUACGUG